AAGGUUAGGCAUGGAGUGUCUACCCCAAGCUGUACCAAAAGAGGUACUGAGAAAUUGAGCUUCUGUUUCUCUUUCACUUUUUAUUUGGUUACUGAAUAUAGGGUAUUCGGUGAGGUGUUUGGAUAUGCGACCGAUGGCAAUUCAUGUAACAUUAUUUCCUUUGAUAUUAGUAUUUGUCUGUAGUUUUGUGGAAUAUCAUCUAAUAGCUUUUAUCCACAACAGGCUCUGUUUCUUGAUUUCUACAUUGAAAAAAUAUGUAAUUAUUUGGAGUUUUUUGUUGUUGUAAUUUCUCUGAUUUUGUGGGUUUUUCUAUCCAGUAUCUUUUUCUUUGGUUGCAUGUUGAUGCAUGUUUUUUGUCUGACAUUUUAUUGCUUGGGGUAAGUGAUUUGGUGAGUUCAGAUUUACUAACCUUAUCUAAUUGCAAAUGUUUUGAGUUUCUCAUGCAUCUUCAGCUUUGUCUUUUUCACUCUUGAGGUAUCUGUCGUUGUUACCUAUCUGCAGGUUAGGGAUAAGCUCGCAGCCAAACUCAAGAGUGACCCAACCUGUUUGCUCUGUUUUUGGUGGGACUACAAUUCCAGAUUCGUAUAGCAACAUGUCUAAACUAUUCAAGUUGUCAAGAUGGGACACCUAUCUGGGCAAUGUUGGGAUGUCUAGGCUUGGGUGGAGACGUAGACUUAUGGAAGAGGGCGUUUGCCUCUAGAAGUGACUAAGCAGAGGGUCACGUAGCGGAACUUGGAUUUCAUAGAUCACAGAGAGCAGGGUGAUAGGUAUGUUUCCUCACUUUUACCAUUUUUGAACUUAGAUUAUUGAUAAAUUAAGCUCAGAGGCAGAACGUGGAAACAGUAUUGCCUGGUCUUCUAAAUUUUAAUCUCAAAGGCUGUUGGUCAUAGUUUAGAGGAUUAAGUUCCAAAAAUAGUUUGGAGUUUCGUUUUUACCAAGAUUCAUUCUUUUUCCAUUGUAUUUUCAAUUUGUAGGCUUAAAAAAACUUAAGUACCUUGAAUGUGUGGUUUAGGACUGAUGGAUUUUUUUGAAGCUUAAGUGAGUAUAAUGUCAAUAUACAAAUCUGAGGUGAGAAAUUAUAUACCAACUACAUAAUUACAAAGGGCACCAGUUUCACUUGAGGUCAUACCAAUGCUUUUGGGUUGUUUUUCAAGGUUUUGGAAUGAAAUAACUUUUUUUUUUUUACUAAAGAAACAUAAGUGAUGAUAACAAUUAUA
This is a non-coding RNA of Malus domestica (apple), 1217 nucleotides long. NCBI's taxonomy places the organism in Eukaryota, Viridiplantae, Streptophyta, Magnoliopsida, Rosales, Rosaceae. The record is from RefSeq and is a predicted model, not a curated record.